GACGAACGCUGGCGGCGUGCUUAACACAUGCAAGUCGAACGAAGAGCGAUGGAGGCUUGCUUCUUUCAAUCUUAGUGGCGAACGGGUGUGUAACGCGUAUUCCACCUCUCCUUCAGUGGGGUACAACAGUUGGAAACGACUUCUAAUACCGCAUACUUUCUAAUCUCGUCAUCCAGGAUAGAUAGAAGGUGGUCUCUACACUUAUGCUAUCACUGAAGGUGGGUAUUGCGUCUGAUUAGGUAGCUGGUGGGGUAACGGGCCAACAAUGCGAUGAACAGUAGCCGGUCUGAGAGGAUGGACGGCCAAAAUGGGACUGAGACACGGCCCAGAAUUCUAAGGGAGGCAGCAGGGGGGAAUCUUCCGCAAUGGAGGGAAGUCUGAAGGAGCAACGGCGGGGGGAGGAUGAAAGCCCUCGGGUUGUAAAGCUCUGUUAAUCGGGAAGAAAGGCCUUCUUGAGAAUAGGGGGAAGGAUUGACGGUACCGGAACAGAAAGCCACGGCUAACUACGUG
Molecule: ribosomal RNA, 510 nt
Filed under: uncultured bacterium
Lineage: Bacteria
Description: partial 16S ribosomal RNA
Rfam family: Bacterial small subunit ribosomal RNA
Source: RNAcentral